CCAAAAUAUAUUUCUCUUCUUGUUGCACGUGCAUGGCGUUCUUGUGCACAUUGUCUAUCCUGCUCACAGUGGGUGCCCAAUCAGGAUUGUUGACAUAAUUCCAUGCUGCAGGCAUGUCUGUUAUUAGAUGAUAAAGAAAUAAAUAAAUAAAUAGUUUGGGUGAAUGUGCAGGCUUUAAACAAGAAACAUUGAGAAAUAUAUUUUGGCAAAUAAUAAAAUGUCCUAAUUUUGUCCAACUAACAGCUGACAAUUAUCCCAUUCCUUAGCUUGCAUCUGAGGAAAAUUUAUUUCAAAACGCAUUGAUAGUUUACGAUUAUUUAAAUGGUAAAUGUAGCUUCAGAAGCGUUUUCAUUUUGCAUGUUAAAACCCACCUGAGAACCAUGGGCGAUUUUGAAAUUUUACUGACGGAUUUUUCACUUUUAAAACUUUUUAUAUAACAAAUGAAUAAAGAUAAAAAAGUCAAUAAUGCCUUACUUUUGAUGAAAUGCAGCGAGCAAACGCGAUAAUUCCCGAUAUUUUGGAUCUUUAAAUCUCCACGACAAAUGUCCGCUGAUCACUUCCGCUGGAUUUGCACCUUCAGCUCCCUCUUGAAUUUACCUUAGUUUCUAUCUUUUUUUUGGACUGUAAAUUUAGGUAGCUGUGCCUCACGGUCACUCCGACUGGCACAGUAAAUUGCAGCUCAAAAACUGGCCGUUUUCGAUGUUUUUAAUGGGUGUGAAAGUGCGUGUUUUCCCAUUCACUAACAUGUACCGGAAGUAUAGCAUGUACUCCACUUCAAAUUUUUCGGUCACGUGGGUGCGGAUCUACGCUCCAGUGACCUUUCAUGAAAUCACCCUAUAGAGAGAAGGAAUAGGCGACAUUUCGGGUCGAGACCCUUCAUCAGAGGGAUAGUCAGGCUGGUCGGAGAACUGGGAAGGGGGAGAGAUGGACUCAUGGAGAAAGAAGAAAAGCAAGGGUUACUUGAAGUUAAAGAAGUCAAUGUUCAUACCGCUCUGGUGUAUGCUGCCCAAGUGAAAUAUGAGGUGCUGUUCCUACAAUUUGUCUGUGGCCUCACUGACAAUGGAGGAGACCCAGGACAAAGACAACCAGUUUGCAAAUGGUUGGUUACACGACACUAGUGUAUACAUCCCAAAGAAUUCUCCAGAUUUACAAGUGGUGUGUGGAAAAGUUCUGCACUCACAAGCUGUAGGCGUGACAUCUAAGCCAUUGAUGCCGUGGGUUAUUGUGGCAAAUAGCCAGAUAUGCAGUGCCCACUAUGAUUGCAAGGCAGGGCUUGGAGAAGUUUGUACCCACAUUGCGACGCUUCUCUUUGGUAUUGAUGCUGGAGUACGGAUUCGUGAGAAGAAAACAGUCGUCCAGGUCAAGGCAUAUUGGAUGGAGCCAACAAGAAAGCAGGCUAAAGUCGCGCCUGUCAGCAAAGUUGACCUCUUCAGCAGCAAAAAAGAAAAGAUAGCUUGAUGCUGCCAUAGAUGGGACUGAGCUGAAAUAGCAACAAACUAGAGAUAAAGCUCCAUCAUUGUCAUCUGCUGCAUCUUGAGCAUCGGAGGUGCUGCAGGACAAAUCACUGUGGACUUUUGUUAGGCCUGUCCCUGAUAACAACAAAAUCGGCCAUACUCAGCUCUGUUGACCCUUAUGCAGCAAGAUUUGUUCCUGCUGCGACUGUUGCAGCAUUUCCACCGAUUCUUACAGACCUAAUGGGCAAAGGCACAUUCACCUUGACAUUUGCUGAUCUUCUAAAGAGAUGUGAAGAUGUUGAUUGUUCUGUUACAGAGGAGGGGGGCAAAGAAUGUGGAGGCGCACACUCGUCAGCAAGCAAAAUCAGAUCUCUGGUUUCGAUAGCGGGCAGGACGCAUAACAGCAUCAAAAAUGAAAAGUUUUUGCACAACAAAUGCAGGUUCUCCUGCAAUUAGUGUUAUAAAAUCGGUGUGUUACCCCGAUCUGUGCAGAUUUAGCAAUGAGGCAACAAGAUGGGGCUGUGAUUAAGAAGAGCAUGCAAGGCAAGCCAAGGCGGCUUAUAUGCGCACUGAACACUCAGGUUUCAUGAUGAAAUACUCAGGACUGAUCAUAAACCCCAAGUACCCUCAUUUGGGUGCAACACUGGACGGACUGGUUCAGUGUGCUGAGCAAUGCUGCGGGGAUGACCGUCUUGGUGUCUGUGAAAUAAAAUGUCCAUUCAGUAAGAAGGACAUGUCUUUAAUGUCCGCUGCAGAGGACAAACAGUUUUACCUUCAGAAUUUGAAUGGUGAGCUUCAUCUGUCCAAAUAGCAUGCUUACUACUACCAGGUGCUGGCCCAAAUUUGUGUCUCGUAGAGAUCAUUUUGUGGUUUGGACCAGUGAUGACGUCCGUCCCCAGAUAGAGCGUAUAGUGGGUUAUCAUGCUUUUUGGACAGAUGUUGUAGCUGCUGCCACUCAGUUCUUUAAUUUCGACGUAUUGCCGGAGCUUGUUGGCAAGCAUUUUACCAGUCCCCCCAUAAAUAUGUUGAAGAAUGUCGUGCAGACCAAUGACCAGGAAGAACAAAAAUGGUGCUACUGUUAGGAGGGGGAAAGCGGGAAAAUGAUCAUGUGCGAUAACCCAAAGUGUCCUAUUUCGUGGUAUCAUUUUGAAUGCCUGAAAUUGCCAGAUAAUUAUGAAACACCAAAAAAAUGGUUUUGCCCAGAUUGUAGGCGCCUCCCAAAAUCUAAAAGAAAAGCCCCCAAAAAGAAAUGAAUGGCAAGUGUUUUGCUGAACAUGUUUCUGUUAAAUACAAAGUCUAUCAUUUGUAUACCACGUUUCCCUUGCACUGCAUAAAGCCACGUAAUAGGCUAUUUUGUGUUCACUUUAAAAAACACCAGUCACUUUUUGAAACUGUUCUAUUUAAGUUUAAUGUUAAAGAUUUUGAAGUGCACUUUAGCUACUGUGUUUGUUAUUUGAUGGUUUGGCAAUUACUUGCAAUUUCAUCCAUAAUAAAUGCUGAUGAGCCAAGUA
Long non-coding RNA from Leucoraja erinaceus (little skate), 2965 nucleotides. RefSeq lists it as uncharacterized. The transcript has 2 exons. NCBI's taxonomy places the organism in Eukaryota, Metazoa, Chordata, Chondrichthyes, Rajiformes, Rajidae. The record is from RefSeq and is a predicted model, not a curated record.